RNAcentral lists this ribosomal RNA (254 nucleotides) under uncultured bacterium. Its description in RNAcentral is "partial 16S ribosomal RNA". It matches the Rfam family "Bacterial small subunit ribosomal RNA", at positions 524 to 776 of the family's 1533-position model. The record is from RNAcentral.
CACGUAGGGGGCAAGCGUUGUCCGGAUUUAUUGGGCGUAAAGAGCUCGUAGGCGGCUUAGUAAGUCGGGUGUGAAACCUCCAGGCUCAACCUGGAGACGCCACCCGAUACUGCUGUGGCUAGAGUCCGGUAGGGGAGCGUGGAAUUCCUGGUGUAGCGGUGAAAUGCGCAGAUAUCAGGAGGAACACCGGUGGCGAAGGCGGAUCUCUGGGCCAUUACUGACGCUGAGGAGCGAAAGCGUGGGGAGCGAACAGG